UAAUACGUAGGGUGCGAGCGUUAAUCGGAAUUACUGGGCGUAAAGCGUGCGCAGGCGGUUGUGUAAGACAGAGGUGAAAUCCCCGGGCUCAACCUGGGAACUGCCUUUGUGACUGCAUAGCUAGAGUACGGCAGAGGGGGAUGGAAUUCCGCGUGUAGCAGUGAAAUGCGUAGAUAUGCGGAGGAACACCGAUGGCGAAGGCAAUCCCCUGGGCCUGUACUGACGCUCAUGCACGAAAGCGUGGGGAGCAAACAGGAUUAGAUACCCUGGUAGUCCACGCCCUAAACGAUGUCAACUGGUUGUUGGGUUUUAAUUAACUCAGUAACGAAGCUAACGCGUGAAGUUGACCGCCUGGGGAGUACGGCCGCAAGGUUGAAACUUAAAUGAAUUGACGG
RNAcentral lists this ribosomal RNA (395 nucleotides) under bacterium enrichment culture. RNAcentral's name for it is "bacterial SSU rRNA". It matches the Rfam family "Bacterial small subunit ribosomal RNA", at positions 521 to 916 of the family's 1533-position model. The record is from RNAcentral.